This 173-nucleotide non-coding RNA is filed under the name Desulfofundulus australicus. The record is from RNAcentral. Lineage: Bacteria; Bacillati; Bacillota; Clostridia; Eubacteriales; Peptococcaceae.
AAAAGUUUUUAACCUGCAGGUGCCCCGUAGGGGAGAAUAGGGAAUCAGGUGAAAAACCUGAGCGGUCUCCGCCACUGUAACCGGGGAGUAGCUCUGCAAUGCCACCGCCAGGGAAGGCGCAGGGCAGGCAAUGAUCCGGGAGCCAGGAUACCUGCCUGCGGGUGCUGUUGGCC